RNAcentral lists this ribosomal RNA (327 nucleotides) under uncultured eukaryote. RNAcentral's name for it is "partial 18S ribosomal RNA". It matches the Rfam family "Eukaryotic small subunit ribosomal RNA", at positions 1470 to 1796 of the family's 1831-position model. The record is from RNAcentral.
CCCUUAGAUGUUCUGGGCCGCACACGCGCUACACUGAAGGAGGCAGCGUGUACUCCUGGAUCGAAAGAUUUGGGUAACCCGCGAAUCUCCUUCGUGCUAGGGAUUGAGGUUUGCAAUUAUCCUUCAUGAACGAGGAAUUCCCAGUAAGUGCAAGUCAUAAGCUUGCGCUGACUACGUCCCUGCCCUUGGUACACACCGCCCGUCGCUACUACCGAUUGAAUGAUUUAGUGAGGACUUCGGACUGGGACCGAUGCGGCUUUCGGGCUGCGUCGGUAUUCUGGAAAGAUGUCCAAACUGUAUCAUUUAGAGGAAGUAAAAGUCGUAACA